UAAUAUAUUUAAAAUUAGGUAGUAAUGAUAUCUCUGAAACCUAAAGAACUUGGCGGUAUUUUAAAUAAUUGGAGGAACUUGCUAUUUAAUUGAAAUUCCACAACAUAUCUUCCCUUAGUUUUUGUUUGUAUAUCGUUGUUUAGGACAAUAUUUUAAAAUGUAGUCAAGAUUAAAAUUUUUUGAAAAAUCAAAUCAAGGUGCAGCAUAAUAAGGUUAUAGUGAGUUACAAUACAUUUCAUGUAAACGGAAAGUAAUAUGAAAAGUGAAAAGAAGGUGGAUUCGAAAGUAAUAAAGAAUUAAAAAGUUUUUAUGAAUUAUAAUUUAAAAUAUGC
This 332-nucleotide ribosomal RNA is filed under the name Sahyadrimetrus rugosus. Its description in RNAcentral is "Heterometrus scaber rugosus partial small subunit ribosomal RNA". The record is from RNAcentral. Lineage: Eukaryota; Metazoa; Arthropoda; Arachnida; Scorpiones; Scorpionidae.